GAUGAACGCUGGCGGCGUGCUUAACACAUGCAAGUCGAACGGAAAGGCCCAAGUUUGCUUGGGGACUCGAGUGGCGAACGGGUGAGUAACACGUGGGUGAUCUGCCCCGCACUUCGGGAUAAGCCUAGGAAACUGGGUCUAAUACCGGAUAGGACCACUUCCUGGUGGUUGUGGUGGAAAGUUUGUUCGGUGUGGGAUGAGCUCGCGGCCUAUCAGCUUGUUGGUGGGGUAAUGGCCUACCAAGGCGUCGACGGGUAGCCGGCCUGAGGGGGUGUACAGCCACAAUGGUACUAAGGUGCGGCCCAGACUCCUACGGGGGGCAGCAGUGGGGAGUAAUGCACAGUAGGCGGAAGCCGGAUGCAGCGGCGCCGCGUGGGGGAUGACGGCCUUCGGGUUGUAAACUCCUUUCGCUAGGGACGAAGCGCAAGUGACGGUACCUAGAGAAGAAGCACCGGCUAACUACGUG
This 466-nucleotide ribosomal RNA is filed under the name uncultured bacterium. RNAcentral describes it as "partial 16S ribosomal RNA". It matches the Rfam family "Bacterial small subunit ribosomal RNA", at positions 28 to 507 of the family's 1533-position model. The record is from RNAcentral.